AGACCCGAAACCCGGUGAUCUAGCCAUGGGCAGGUUGAAGGUUGGGUAACACUAACUGGAGGACCGAACCGACUAAUGUUGAAAAAUUAGCGGAUGACCUGUGGCUGGGGGUGAAAGGCCAAUCAAACCGGGAGAUAGCUGGUUCUCCCCGAAAGCUAUUUAGGUAGCGCCUCGUGAAUUCAUCUCCGGGGGUAGAGCACUGUUUCGGCUAGGGGGCCAUCCCGGCUUACCAACCCGAUGCAAACUGCGAAUACCGGAGAAUGUUAUCACGGGAGACACACGGCGGGUGCUAACGUCCGUCGUGAAGAGGGAAACAACCCAGACCGCCAGCUAAGGUCCCAAAGUCAUGGUUAAGUGGGAAACGAUGUGGGAAGGCCCAGACAGCCAGGAUGUUGGCUUAGAAGCAGCCAUCAUUUAAAGAAAGCGUAAUAGCUCACUGGUCGAGUCGGCCUGCGCGGAAGAUGUAACGGGGCUAAACCAUGCACCGAAGCUGCGGCAGCGAACGUAUCACCCAAGACAACUUUACGGAGUUGACGAUUGACGGAGCGAAGCGACGUCAAAGCGUUCAUUAAAGUCGAGUUGGCUUAGGGAUACGUUCGUUGGGUAGGGGAGCGUUCUGUAAGCCUGUGAAGGUGUGUCGUGAGGCAUGCUGGAGGUAUCAGAAGUGCGAAUGCUGACAUAAGUAACGAUAAAGCGGGUGAAAAGCCCGCUCGCCGGAAGACCAAGGGUUCCUGUCCAACGUUAAUCGGGGCAGGGUGAGUCGACCCCUAAGGCGAGGCCGAAAGGCGUAGUCGAUGGGAAACGGGUUAAUAUUCCCGUACUUGGUGUUACUGCGAAGGGGGGACGGAGAAGGCUAUGUUGGCCGGGCGACGGUUGUCCCGGUUUAAGCGUGUAGGUGUGUGUUCCAGGUAAAUCCGGUUCACUUUAACACUGAGGCGUGACGACGAGGCACUACGGUGCUGAAGCAACAAAUGCCCUGCUUCCAGGAAAAGCCUCUAAGCAUCAGGUAACAUCAAAUCGUACCCCAAACCGACACAGGUGGUCAGGUAGAGAAUACCAAGGCGCUUGAGAGAACUCGGGUGAAGGAACUAGGCAAAAUGGUGCCGUAACUUCGGGAGAAGGCACGCUGACACGUAGGUGAAGUGAUUUACUCAUGGAGCUGAAGUCAGUCGAAGAUACCAGCUGGCUGCAACUGUUUAUUAAAAACACAGCACUGUGCAAACACGAAAGUGGACGUAUACGGUGUGACGCCUGCCCGGUGCCGGAAGGUUAAUUGAUGGGGUCAGCGCAAGCGAAGCUCCUGAUCGAAGCCCCGGUAAACGGCGGCCGUAACUAUAACGGUCCUAAGGUAGCGAAAUUCCUUGUCGGGUAAGUUCCGACCUGCACGAAUGGCGUAAUGAUGGCCAGGCUGUCUCCACCCGAGACUCAGUGAAAUUGAACUCGCUGUGAAGAUGCAGUGUACCCGCGGCAAGACGGAAAGACCCCGUGAACCUUUACUAUAGCUUGACACUGAACAUUGAGCCUUGAUGUGUAGGAUAGGUGGGAGGCUUUGAAGUGUGGACGCCAGUCUGCAUGGAGCCGACCUUGAAAUACCACCCUUUAAUGUUUGAUGUUCUAACGUGGACCCGUAAUCCGGGUUGCGGACAGUGUCUGGUGGGUAGUUUGACUGGGGCGGUCUCCUCCUAAAGAGUAACGGAGGAGCACGAAGGUUGGCUAAUCCUGGUCGGACAUCAGGAGGUUAGUGCAAUGGCAUAAGCCAGCUUGACUGCGAGCGUGACGGCGCGAGCAGGUGCGAAAGCAGGUCAUAGUGAUCCGGUGGUUCUGAAUGGAAGGGCCAUCGCUCAACGGAUAAAAGGUACUCCGGGGAUAACAGGCUGAUACCGCCCAAGAGUUCAUAUCGACGGCGGUGUUUGGCACCUCGAUGUCGGCUCAUCACAUCCUGGGGCUGAAGUAGGUCCCAAGGGUAUGGCUGUUCGCCAUUUAAAGUGGUACGCGAGCUGGGUUUAGAACGUCGUGAGACAGUUCGGUCCCUAUCUGCCGUGGGCGCUGGAGAACUGAGGGGGGCUGCUCCUAGUACGAGAGGACCGGAGUGGACGCAUCACUGGUGUUCGGGUUGUCAUGCCAAUGGCACUGCCCGGUAGCUAAAUGCGGAAGAGAUAAGUGCUGAAAGCAUCUAAGCACGAAACUUGCCCCGAGAUGAGUUCUCCCUGAGACUUAGAGUCUCCUGAAGGAACGUUGAAGACGACGACGUUGA
RNAcentral lists this ribosomal RNA (2254 nucleotides) under Salmonella enterica subsp. enterica serovar Typhimurium. RNAcentral describes it as "partial 23S ribosomal RNA". It matches the Rfam family "Bacterial large subunit ribosomal RNA", at positions 711 to 2856 of the family's 2925-position model. The record is from RNAcentral. Lineage: Bacteria; Pseudomonadati; Pseudomonadota; Gammaproteobacteria; Enterobacterales; Enterobacteriaceae.